UCUCAGAGACAGUUGAAGCAAACAAAAGAAACCCAACUUGUACCAAUCAGUAUCUCAGAAGGAAACAGAUGACACAAACAGAUUGAAGUGAGUUCAAGUAAGGGACUAUGUGCAAAGAUGUGGCUAGGCUUGAGGGGAUCAGUGAGAUGGGGUAAAGCAUCCAGGGUUUACCUCCCCUGGCCUGGAGGGGCAAGGGGGAGAGCAGGCACCAGUGCCUGAGGGAGGCACAGCCCUGGAAAAGGUGACUGGCAGACACUGUGGCCUUCCUUAGUGGCACACAGACUCUGCAGAAACAUGCAUCUGACAGCAGGAGUGAAUGCUCCCACCUCUCUCCAUCCAUCCUCUGAUCUGCUACUGGUGAGAGCUGAGAUCCACUUCUUAUUAGAUCCACACACUAGAAGGAGGACAAGGGAUUCUGGGAGAUGAAUAAACAGCCCCCAGGGAACAGAGCCAAGUGGAGAGCGGUGGAGAGAGGAUACCCUAAGGGGAAAACACAGAAUCUCCUCCUCACACUCCAAGGACUAAUUCAUUCCAUCUAGAAAGUGCGACUCCAUCCAAGAUAGCAAGCGUUCAACAAGUGUUGGCUGUAUCAGUCGGGAGGAAGCAUUCCAUUUUGGAGGGGAAGAAAAGAGUUGGAACCAGAGAGUGAAUCACAAAAUCCAGUUUCAGUUAACAGGAAAUGGAGUCUGAACUCCAGCUGGUGGAAGGGAGAGAUGAGACAGGAGAAAGAAGAAAAAACAGCAGCGGUGUGCUGGUGCCAACUCCCGCAGCCUUAGGAGAGCAGAGGGUUAAUUUUUCAGGAAGUCUGCAAGCCGGUUGUGAAAUCUGUUGGGUAGCUUGAAAUCAGUGGUGGCAGGAGUAUUUACACCGUGGGAACAGGCAAAAUCAGAACACACCACUGGAAAUGAAUAUUCUUCGCCCAACUUUUGGAUUUCCAAAUCCUAGCCCUCAGAGAAAAAUGGAAAGGACUCUUGCCUAGAAAAUCAAGUAGGACAUUUCCUGGACUAUGGCAAGAGGAAAAACAGAGGGAAAGAGAGCAUACUCUAAGAAUAUCAGGGCUGUCAGCCUCAUUUUGUGUUCUUCCCUCUACCUCACCUUUUGAACCCAUGUAAGUAAACAUUUACAAGACUGCAGAAUAACAGCAAACACAUAACGGUAAACAUACUGAUGCACCGUACCCAAAGAAAUGACUUCAUAAGCAAAAUGGAGAGAAAAAAGCUAUUAUAACAGGCCGGGUGAGGUGGCUCAGGCCUAUAAUCCCAGCAAGGCUGAGACAGGCGGAUCACUUGAGGUCAGGAGUUUGAGACCAGCCUGGUCAACAUGACGAAACCCCAUCUCUAUUAAAAAUACAAAAAUUAGCUGGGUGUGACGGUGUGCACCUGUAAUCCUAGCUACUUGGAAGGCUGAGGCAUGAGAAUCACUUGAACUGGGGAGGCAGAGGUUGCAGUGAGCCAAGAUCAGGCCACUGCACUCCAGCCUGUGUGAGAGAGUGAGACUCCUUCUCAAAAGAAAAAAAAAGUUCUAACAAUUCAUAAGUACAAUCUUUCUUUUUAUUUUCUUCUUUCCACUUGGUAUGUCAAAAUAUUUCAGUUCAUCUCCAUUUUAACACUUCUCUGGUACAUUCUGUUAAUCUCUAUUUUAUUAAAUGGAGAUUACAUUAUAACAGUUACCUGAUGCAUAGAAUGUAGCAACCAUGUCAAUAAACACAAAGUAUAUAAUAAAUAUUUUAUUUCUUCAAAUAUAGAAUUAUGUAUUUUUUCAUAUAAAGGAAGAAAUUCUCCGUUUUUAAAAAUAAUUAUAUUUGCUACUACUAUGUUUACAUUUUAUCAAACCCAAUUUUCUCUUAUUUCUCUAUAGUAUCGUAAGUAUAUACUACUAACAAAAGUAUUGUUUCUUCUUUUUUUUUUUGACAGAGUCUCGCUCUGUCACCCUGGAGUGCAGUGUGCGAUCUUGGCUCACUGCAAGCUCCACCUCCCGGG
RNAcentral lists this long non-coding RNA (1979 nucleotides) under Homo sapiens (human). RNAcentral's name for it is "HSALNT0197265". The record is from RNAcentral. Lineage: Eukaryota; Metazoa; Chordata; Mammalia; Primates; Hominidae.